GCAUCACCACUAGUAGCAGAGAAUUUUCAGAUACUGACGACCCCGGGAAACUUACGAGGAAGGACACCGCGUUUCCAUUGUUUAAUUUUGCUAGUGUAUCGGAAGCUACUGAAAACUUCUCCUUGGAGAAUAAGUUGGGAGAAGGGGGAUUUGGUCCUGUUUAUAUGGGAAAACUAUUAAAUGGACAAGAAGUAGCAGUGAAAAGGCUCUCCAGAUGAUCCACACAAGGGCUCGAAGAGUUAAAAAACGAGACGCUUAUAGCAAAACUUCAACAUCGAAACCUUGUUAGGCUAUUAGGUUGCUGUUUAGAACAAGGAGAAAAGAUACUGAUCUAUGAGUUCAUGCCUAACAAAAGCUUGGAUUCAUUUCUUUUUGGUUCAAACAAUCAAGGACUACUAGACUGGGGAACAAGAGUUCGAGUAAUUGAGGGGAUCGCACAAGGGCUUCUAUAUCUUCGCCAAUAUUCGAGACUACGGAUUAUA
Hibiscus syriacus is the source of this 482-nucleotide long non-coding RNA. RefSeq lists it as uncharacterized. Lineage: Eukaryota; Viridiplantae; Streptophyta; Magnoliopsida; Malvales; Malvaceae. The record is from RefSeq and is a predicted model, not a curated record. The transcript has 3 exons.